RNAcentral lists this ribosomal RNA (335 nucleotides) under uncultured bacterium. Its description in RNAcentral is "bacterial SSU rRNA". It matches the Rfam family "Bacterial small subunit ribosomal RNA", at positions 28 to 354 of the family's 1533-position model. The record is from RNAcentral.
GAUGAACGCUAGCGACAGGCUUAACACAUGCAAGUCGAGGGGCAGCGGGAGUGAAGCUUGCUUUACUCGCCGGCGACCGGCGCACUGGUGAGUAACGCGUAUGCGACCUGCCCGCGGCCGGGGGAUAAUCCAUAGAAAUGUGGUCUAAUACCCCAUAUGCCGGUUCUCUGCAUGGAGGACCGGUGAAAGGAGAGAUCCGGGCGCGGAUGGGCAUGCGUCUGAUUAGCUGGUUGGCGGGCAACGGCCCACCAAGGCUACGAUCAGUAGGGGUUCUGAGAGGAAGGUCCCCCACAUUGGUACUGAGACACGGACCAAACUCCUACGGGAGGCAGCAG